This is a long non-coding RNA of Sinocyclocheilus rhinocerous, 195 nucleotides long. RefSeq lists it as uncharacterized. The transcript has 2 exons. Lineage: Eukaryota; Metazoa; Chordata; Actinopteri; Cypriniformes; Cyprinidae. The record is from RefSeq and is a predicted model, not a curated record.
CCAGGUGGAGAUCGACGGACAGAAGUUUCAGGGAACCGGAUCCAAUAAAAAGGUGGCGAAGGCCUACGCAGCACUUGCAGCCCUGGAGAAGCUCUUCCCAGAAGGCUCCAACUCGGAGGCAAACAAGAAGAAUAAAAUGCCUCCAAUGCACCCCGCUGGAUUUGGGAUGGUGAGUGGGCCGCCUGCUGACAUGGC